AUUGAACGCUGGCGGCAGGCCUAACACAUGCAAGUCGAGCGGAUGAGUGGAGCUUGCUCCAUGAUUUAGCGGCGGACGGGUGAGUAAUGCCUAGGAAUCUGCCUGGUAGUGGGGGACAACGUUUCGAAAGGAACGCUAAUACCGCAUACGUCCUACGGGAGAAAGUGGGGGAUCUUCGGACCUCACGCUAUCAGAUGAGCCUAGGUCGGAUUAGCUAGUUGGUGAGGUAAAGGCUAACCAAGGCGACGAUCCGUAACUGGUCUGAGAGGAUGAUCAGUCACACUGGAACUGAGACACGGUCCAGACUCCUACGGGAGGCAGCAGUGGGGAAUAUUGGACAAUGGGCGAAAGCCUGAUCCAGCCAUGCCGCGUGUGUGAAGAAGGUCUUCGGAUUGUAAAGCACUUUAAGUUGGGAGGAAGGGCAGUAAGUUAAUACCUUGCUGUUUUGACGUUACCAACAGAAUAAGCACCGGCUAACUUCGUGCCAGCCGCCGCCGUAA
This 500-nucleotide ribosomal RNA is filed under the name uncultured bacterium. RNAcentral's name for it is "partial 16S ribosomal RNA". It matches the Rfam family "Bacterial small subunit ribosomal RNA", at positions 30 to 523 of the family's 1533-position model. The record is from RNAcentral.